UGUCUUCAUAGAGACAACGAUGUCCACCUUUUAUAGGCAUGCAUUUUCCUGCAUGCUGAUUCAAGCCUCAAAGUCACUACAACCGUUCACAUGGUCUGCACCAUGACCAAGCUCCACGCCACCAAGCCAAAAAUAGUUGCGUGAACCUCUCCUUGCCAAUUGCCACAUCCUGGUCAAAAUUUGAUGGCACCACCAGCCAUCCAAGCUAGUCUUCCUUCUCUUUCUAAUCGUCACUUGACCAAACCAAGCAACAUGCAACUCAGUUCUCUAGCCCACCGAACAUCUCGCAUGACAUCCGUGACCGAUAGGACCUCAGUUCCUCCCUGAACUUAGUCCCGAAACCUCAGUUCCUCCUUGAACCUAGUUCCAAUCCAUCAUCGACCACGUUCUGCCUCAAGCUAACACCUGCACAUGAACAAACAAGCGACAAGUACGAGCCCAAGUCCAAGACUUGACUCAAGUCAAUCCGCACAACACCUCACACGAGCAUGUCAUGCAACAAUUCCAAAUCACCUGCUAUCACAACCAUAUAUAGACAACACAUGCAUAUCAAAUUAUGCCAUAAUUCAAAUCUCUUUGCAAUACCAAUUUCAUAUCAAGCCAAUUUUUCAUUACAUGAUCUCACAAUCUCCCCCUUGAUGAAAACAUUGGCAACACCAUUUAAAUAAUGAACAUUGGCAUUUACAUCCACCAAAUUAUUUUUAAAUCAAUGGCAAAGUGAAAAAAUAAAAAUAAAAAGAUCAUAUCAAAAGAUCCAAAAAGAAGAAAUGAUUUGAAAUUAUCUCCCCCUUUCUUAUCUCUCAAAAAAUCACUCAUGUGAACAUGCAAUGGGUAAAACUCUUUCUCCCCCUUUGACAAUGGAUUCAUCAAGAACAUAAAAGACAACAAAAGAAGGCUAAACACGACACUAAAGAUGAUAACUCCCCCUCAGCAAAUGUUAUGAUAUGAGGAAAAUGCAAAGCUUCAAGAGUACAACAGUCAAAGUAAAAAGAUGCUCUAGUUGGUGUUGUCAUGUGUGUAGCAACAAGUACAAGCCAUAGCAAAUGCUCAAAUUGAUCAACUGAAAAAUAUGAUACUUAAGCAUUUUGAUUUAGUUUUAAGUAAUUCAAAGAGAUGUUCACCAAUGAUUGUAGCACAUAGCAAGUAUAACCAGGAGAUCAAACUUGUGCUAACACAUGCAUACAAAAGUGAACUACCCCAUAUAACGGUCAUACAUCAUGUCUCAAAGACUCACUUAAUACUUGUGGUUUCCAAAGUUUUAUCAGAGUUUGCAGCGGUUCACAAGUAUUAGUUAGAACAUGUGUAUGCGAGUGGUUAUCCAAACUGUCCGCCAAAAUAUAAUUUUUCUUUUCUUUUCAACCACGCCAAGUUCAUCCCUUAGUGCAAUGGGAAGCCGUCUCAUCACGAGUGGUUGUGGACUACACUACAAGGCUCAAGUUCAUCCCUUAGUGCAAGUGGGAAGCUGUCUUGAUACCUUGACGUGGGACAGUAAAGACCCAACUCGAUCUUUCAUGAUUACUUAGCUUGGAUUUCAAGUUUUAGCACAAGAUUAUCAAGUUGUCCAAGUCAAGUGCAUGACUCAAGAAACAUGAGACAUAGCAGCCUAGCAUACAUAUGAAAGCAACAUGGAUCUCAACACAUCCUACACAUGCUAGUUGCCAUCUCAAAUGGUGAACAUUUUCAAGUCUCAAUAGUUAUUAGUCAAGUUCACAUGUUAGAAAAUAGGCUCAUCUUAUAACAUGUAUCAAUGUGAUCAAAAGGAGCCUAAGCAGGAAGUACUAUCAUGUACGCACAGAACAUACCAAAGAUAGCAUAGUUUUAUUCUAACAGUUAUAGUCAUGAAGCUCAAGGAUGUUCUAUCAUACAUGAUGAGAACUAAAAAUAGAAUUCAGCUCAAACUCUAGAAGCAGUUAGGUGGUUUAAAACAAAUUCUUGGAAACCAGAAAAAAAGAAAAAGAGUACCAUAUAGAGAAUGCAAAAUUGACUAUGUACGAGAAUAUAGACUCGCCGUCAAAACAAUCCAGAUGGAUGUAACACCCCAAGUUCUCCCCGU
RNAcentral lists this long non-coding RNA (2053 nucleotides) under Sorghum bicolor (sorghum). RNAcentral's name for it is "long non-coding RNA (SBIC_LNC014486)". Lineage: Eukaryota; Viridiplantae; Streptophyta; Magnoliopsida; Poales; Poaceae. The record is from RNAcentral.